UUUGCACACGUUUCUCGAGGUCCAGCCCGAAAGCCUGCGCCCUGGGCGUCCCUGCUUCGGCCCCCAGAGGGGGGUGCGCUGCUCGCUCCCCUCGCUCCACCUCCCGCGUAGCCUGCGGGCCCCUGGCGGCCCAGGGCAUGGGGCAGAGACGCCAUGCCGGCUGAUACACACGCCCGGAGGAGGUGAGGGAGGAAGCCACUUGAAAAUAAACAGGUGCGGCCGGCGGGGGACAGGGAAAGAGAUCACAGCGAAGACCCAGAAGAAACAAAAGGCAAGCGAAUGUAAGAGCUUCACCACCUUCCCACUCCAGGACGGUGGACAACAAGAGGUUUGAAAGCUGUGAUGUCCUCACUGUCUUCCGUCCCUCUCACGGAAUGAAAAGUCGUUUUUGCCAGAAUAUUAUACCUGCAAGAUCUCACGGGGAGGAGACUGCAGCCCACCCGCUGGAGAUUUUUGCCUACAGAAAGCUUCCCUUUUUUUCCAACCCAAAGACAGACUUUUAUAGCCUCUCCAACUCCCCUUGAAUUUUUAAGAGAGAGAAAGAAAAGCCCCAAAGUGAAAGAUAGUGGUCAUUUAUGCCUUGGAAAGAUAAAUGGGUGUUUUAGUUUUGUUUUUAAAUGAAUUUUCCUUUUCUAAAGAAUUUCUUUCAAAAAAUUAGUGGGAGUUGAGGUGAGGCAUGUGUUUUAUAUUUUUAUAUCCACUUUAGUAGGUUUUAAUAUAACGUCUUGAGUCCCUUUUGAAUUUCUUUAUGACCCAGGUCAAGCUGCCCUGAUUCAGGUUCCACGCAGCUAAAAAUUAAAUUGUAGCUUCCAUCCAUGUCACAAAUAUGUAAGCUGGGGAGGUAACCUACUAUCAGGCCAUAUUUACAGAAUGGCUAAAAAACUAAGCUAAACUUCUCGAAGAUGUCAAUACCUAAGUGUCUUUGGGAUACUUCCUGAAACUACCUGUGAGAAUCUGUUCAUUUUUUCUUUUAAUUAGGACUUUAUUUUACUGAAAAAAAAAAAACUUGAAUGAAGAGAGCCAAAGUACAUGGUGAUGUGAGUGUGAGUCAUGGAACUUGUUCUUUUUUCUGAAUAAUUAUUUCACUUAAGAAGACAUCCAGAUACAUCCAGAUAAUUUGACUAUUUGCCGACCUCUUGGAUGUACCAUAGAUUCUUAUGCAUUGGAUCCUUGAAGACUUAACGCUUCAGGAUGGCAUGCUGGGCACACAAGUUCACUUCCCCCUUGCAAAGCCACAUGACAUUUACGGUAAAGAAAUAAGGCAGAAAUAAAGCCAUGACACUACUGUGACCAGAAGGAAGGCCAUCCGAGAGAAAUAUACUUUUGUGAAGUUCUUGGCAAGAAGAAAGAGGAGAGGACCAGGCCGGGCGCGGUAGCUCACGCCUGUAGUCCCAGCACUUUGGGACAAGGCGGGUGGAUUACAAGGUCAGGAGAUCGAGACCAUCCUUGCUAACACGGUGAAACCCCGUCUCUACUAAAAGUACGAAAAAUUAGCCGGGCGUGGUGGUGGGCGCCUGUAGUCCCAGCUAUUGGGGAGGCUAAGGCAGGAGAAUGGCGUGAACCCAGGAGGUGGAGUUUGCAGUGAGCCGAGAUCAUGCCACUGCACUCCAGCCUGGGCAACACUGCAAGACUCCGUCUCAAAAAAAAAAAAAAAAGAAAAGAAAAGAUAAAUAAAAUUGAUAAUUUGACUAUUUGCCGACCUCUUGGAUGUACCAUAGAUUCUUAUGCAUUGGAUCCUUGAAGACUUACACUUCAGGAUGGCAUGCCAGGCACACAAGUUCACUUCCCCCUUGCGAAGCCACAUGACAUUUAUGGUAAAGAAAUAAGGCAGAAAUAAAGUCAUGACACUACUGUGACCAGUGCAGUGGCAUGACCAUAACUCACUGCAGCCUCAAAUUCCUGGGUUCAAGGGAUCCUCCUACCUCAGCCUACUAUGGAGUAGCUGAGACUACAGGCACGUGCCACCAUGCUUGUCUAAUUUUUUUUUUUAAGUACUGGUAGAGAUGGGUACCUUGCUUUGUUGCCCAGGCUAGUCUUAAACUCCAGGCCUCAAACCAUGCUCCCACCCCAGCCUCCUGAAGCACUAGGAUUACAGGCAUGAGCCACUGCAUCAAGCCCAAAAGAGGCUUCUUAUAAAAAAGGAACAACCAGAAAACAAGAAAGGGUUACUGGAAAUUAAAAAUAUGGCUAAAGUGCCUCGUUAGCUCAGUCGGUAGCGCUUCAGUCUCAUAAAAAUAUGGCUGCUAAAAAAUUUUACCUGUAACACAAACACUGAAAAAUGAAAUCAAGGAAAUCUACCAAAAUGAUGAGUAAAAAGAAAUAGAAAGUAUGAAACAAAAGUUACAAUCAGAGAAUCAAUAGAAGUCCUACACCCGCCUAACAGAACUGUCAGAAGAAAGCUGAAAAAAAAAUGUGCAGGAGAAAAUCAUUGAAUAAACCAUAGGUGAAGAACGGAUAAACAAAAUGUGGUAUAUACAUACAAUGAAAUAUUAUCCAGUCACAAAAAGGAAAGGAGCUACAUGCUACAACAUGGAUGAACCUUGACAACAUUAUGCUGAGUGAGAAAAACCACACACAAAGGCACAAAGGCCACAUAUUGUAUGAUUCCAUUUAUAUGAAAAGUCCAGAACAGGCAAAGCCAUAGAGACAGAGAGUAAAUUAGUGGUUUCCAGGGACUGGGGGAAAAGGGUAAUGAGUGAGUGAUUGCUAAUGGGUGUGGGAUUUCUUUUGGGGGUGAUGAAAAUGUUCUGAAGCUAGAUUGUGGUGAUGGUUGCACAGCUUUGUAAAUAUAAAAAAACCGUUUCUUUGUAUGCUUUAAAAGGGUGAAUUUUAUGGUGUGUGAAUUAUUUAUUUUUAACUAAAAAAAAAAAGUAGAAGAAAAUCUCCAGAACUGAAAAUAAAAAGAUUGAAGGUUCUAUAUGAAGCAGAG
This 2929-nucleotide long non-coding RNA is filed under the name Homo sapiens (human). Its description in RNAcentral is "HSALNT0329343". Lineage: Eukaryota; Metazoa; Chordata; Mammalia; Primates; Hominidae. The record is from RNAcentral.